This is a long non-coding RNA of Planococcus citri (citrus mealybug), 2618 nucleotides long. RefSeq lists it as uncharacterized. The transcript is spliced from 3 exons. NCBI's taxonomy places the organism in Eukaryota, Metazoa, Arthropoda, Insecta, Hemiptera, Pseudococcidae. The record is from RefSeq and is a predicted model, not a curated record.
UUUUGUACAUAAAAAUUUCAUUAUAAAAUUAUCAUGAAAAAAUAAUUAAAUUUUUUAAAUUAUAAUGGCAAUUGCUUAUCCUUAACAUAGACUACGUGAUCACAUUUUGAACAUUAACUUGGAAAACAUUCGAGAUGAAACAACGCACCAUGAUUUUCUAUUUUUCAAUGGAAUUGCAUCAGUUUCUCAACUUCCACUUCCUCAAACAGCACGAUGUUGCUCCUGUUGUAAAUGUUGAACAUGAAGCAUGUAGUUUGGGAAUCACAGAUAUCACAGCAGUACACUGGACAGGUGCUUUUGCCAGUCGCGUAGAAAGAUAUGUAAGAAGACUUAUUUUUUUUUUACCGUAGCGCUUCAUAAUUGACUAGCAUGGCAAUCUAUUUUAGAUGACACGAAGAUCUUAAGAAAGAACAUCUCAUGGCAUCAAUAAAAUCAAAAAUUGAAUUCUGGGAGGAUAUGCUGGCCCCAAACUUAUGAUUUGGGGCUAACAUAUCCUCCCAAAAUUCUAUUUUUCAUAUGAUAAUAUCGUGUAUAUGAAUUUCCACAAAGAAGGAUGCAUGUGGAUCGUCAAGAUAAGUUCAGAUGCCAUUGUAAAGAAAAUUGAUGAAUUUACACACGGUAAACAUUUUUAAAAAUUUUAAAAAGUGGUAUAAACAAAAUUUUAAGAUAAGCUACCUAUCUAAUUACUUGAACUAAAAUCCAGUUGCCCAGUAGAAAAUAGUUAAUUUCUUUGGCUUCUUCAACUGACAUUGACGGGAAAACACAGCGUUGACUGUUCAGUGUGGUUAUUGAUUGACCAAUUUUUUGGUGAUUUUCAUACCAAUGACUUUGAAGCUUUUAUUGCUUUUCAAAGUUCAAGUUUUGUGAUUGUAAAUAUCGUUACCAUUAAAUGCAAAACCAUGUAUGUCCAUAAAAAAAGUACGAUUUUAAGCAUCACUGAUAAGGUUCGGAUAUGCUCGGAAGGGUUCGUUGAGUCCUGAUUGAAUAUUGGUUAGCUUCAUGCAUUUUCCAUGGAGCAUUUUCACUGCACCCAGAUGCAAAUUUUCCAAUUCAGGGCAUCAUAGAUUCUUAACAGUGACGCACAAAGACGAUUUUUUUUUAUGGACACACACGACAUUGCCUUCAAGGUAAUGAUGGGACAUUUCAUGCCAAAUCGGCGGAUUUUUGCACGAUGGAUCUUCGAUUUUUUUUCAAAAUCAGAUCAUGUGUAGAGGUCAUAUGAUGUAAACCCGACAUUUUUUCGAUUUUUUUUGGCGGAACUGUGAGGCUUCAAAGUUCUGUAAAAUGUCUGAAAAUGGAAAAUUUCAGUUGCCAAUUGCUCCGGUUGUACACGGUAUAGAAUUUCGACCUAUUUUCUUCAAGUUGUAGCACUUUGAGAGGGUAAUCGACGAAUGAUGUCAAAAUCAGUGUUGCCACUUUCAAAAACCUAAAAAAAUUGAUUUAAAAACUUAUAAUUUAAAUAAGAACCACAAUGUCCAAGAUGUAAAAUUCUGAAAAAAUUCUCAGUUUUAGCCCAUUUUACGUAGAAUAACAUAUCAACAAAUUGAACUAGCAUUUUUUUUCAUUGUCGAGAAAAAAAUUGCAAGAUUCGUACUUAUUGCAAAAAUAUAUCAUCGGAAACCUAAAAAAUGAAAAUUUUUGCAUUUUUGAGAUGUUUUACCGCAAUGGAGCAAUUUGCAACUGAAAUUGUCUAUUUUCAGCCAUUUUGGAGAACUUUGAAGAUUCACAGCUCAGCUGAAAAAAAUAUCGAAAAAAUGUCCGGUUGACGUCAUUUGUCAUUGUUUGAUGACCUCUACACAUGAUCUGAUUUUGAAAAAAAUUGAAGACCCAUCGUGCAAAAAUCCACGUAUUUGGCAUGGAAUGACCUAAUACGAUUUUUAACACUUCCCAUAAGUAUCAUACGUGUUUUCAAUCAGAAAAUGAAAUUAAAUUACUUACACAUAAAAUUUCACUCACGUUUGAGUUUGAUCGCACGCGAAUGAUAAGUAAAUUACUUACUGCAAUUUAUGAAUAUAAAAAACAGCUCACCCUCUUGAGUAUACUAAGGGGGGGGGGCAUUGCUCCCACUAUUCACACCAGGCUACACGGGUUCACUAGUACUACAGAUCAUUUACUUCAGAAUUUCUAAGAACAAACUACAAUUUUUUUGACGUUUAAGACAACAAAUUGGUAUUUUAGGUGUCCUUCAAUGCAGGGAAUGUUUUGUGAAAAAACAACGAGUUGAUUGAGUUUCGAUGUUUGUGAGUAGAACGUUGAGCGUUGUUGACUAAUAAACCAUUUAUCGAUGCUAUUAAACCUCAGGUUCUAUAAACCUUCUUUUUCUUUAUCUUGCAAUUCCAAAUCUGGACUUUGUUGAGAACUUGUUGUUUUCUGGGUAGAAAAAUAGCCACUUCCAGAUAGUCCGAAAAAGAUAAGUAGACUUUAUUAACAUACUUUUUUUUUUUGCAAUUAGACGGGUUGAAAUCGUUUAUGUACUCGUAUAUAAGUACCAUAGAUUCUUAAUACCAAUGAAACAUAACAAUAAAAGUAAACCAACUCCGAUCAUCAGCCGAGGUCGGAAUUGUCCGAUACUGGCAAUACUGAAGCCGAAGAUCGUCUCUAGUGUAGCAUAAAAAUUA